UUAAGUUAUUAAGGGCGCACGGUGGAUGCCUUGGCACUAGAAGCCGAUGAAGGACGUUACUAACGACGAUAUGCUUUGGGGAGCUGUAAGUAAGCUUUGAUCCAGAGAUUUCCGAAUGGGGAAACCCAGCAUGAGUUAUGUCAUGUUAUCGAUAUGUGAAUACAUAGCAUAUCAGAAGGCACACCCGGAGAACUGAAACAUCUUAGUACCCGGAGGAAGAGAAAGAAAAUUCGAUUCCCUUAGUAGCGGCGAGCGAAACGGGAAGAGCCCAAACCAACAAGCUUGCUUGUUGGGGUUGUAGGACACUCUAUACGGAGUUACAAAGGACGACAUUAGACGAAUCAUCUGGAAAGAUGAAUCAAAGAAGGUAAUAAUCCUGUAGUCGAAAAUGUUGUCUCUCUUGAGUGGAUCCUGAGUACGACGGAGCACGUGAAAUUCCGUCGGAAUCUGGGAGGACCAUCUCCUAAGGCUAAAUACUCUCUAGUGACCGAUAGUGAACCAGUACCGUGAGGGAAAGGUGAAAAGCACCCCGGAAGGGGAGUGAAAUAGAACCUGAAACCGUGUGCUUACAAGUAGUCAGAGCCCGUUAAUGGGUGAUGGCGUGCCUUUUGUAGAAUGAACCGGCGAGUUACGAUUUGAUGCAAGGUUAAGCAGUAAAUGUGGAGCCGUAGCGAAAGCGAGUCUGAAUAGGGCGUUUAGUAUUUGGUCGUAGACCCGAAACCAGGUGAUCUACCCUUGGUCAGGUUGAAGUUCAGGUAACACUGAAUGGAGGACCGAACCGACUUACGUUGAAAAGUGAGCGGAUGAACUGAGGGUAGCGGAGAAAUUCCAAUCGAACCUGGAGAUAGCUGGUUCUCUCCGAAAUAGCUUUAGGGCUAGCCUCAAGUGAUGAUUAUUGGAGGUAGAGCACUGUUUGGACGAGGGGCCCCUCUCGGGUUACCGAAUUCAGACAAACUCCGAAUGCCAAUUAAUUUAACUUGGGAGUCAGAACAUGGGUGAUAAGGUCCGUGUUCGAAAGGGAAACAGCCCAGACCACCAGCUAAGGUCCCAAAAUAUAUGUUAAGUGGAAAAGGAUGUGGCGUUGCCCAGACAACUAGGAUGUUGGCUUAGAAGCAGCCAUCAUUUAAAGAGUGCGUAAUAGCUCACUAGUCGAGUGACACUGCGCCGAAAAUGUACCGGGGCUAAACAUAUUACCGAAGCUGUGGAUUGUCCUUUGGACAAUGGUAGGAGAGCGUUCUAAGGGCGUUGAAGCAUGAUCGUAAGGACAUGUGGAGCGCUUAGAAGUGAGAAUGCCGGUGUGAGUAGCGAAAGACGGGUGAGAAUCCCGUCCACCGAUUGACUAAGGUUUCCAGAGGAAGGCUCGUCCGCUCUGGGUUAGUCGGGUCCUAAGCUGAGGCCGACAGGCGUAGGCGAUGGAUAACAGGUUGAUAUUCCUGUACCACCUAUAAUCGUUUUAAUCGAUGGGGGGACGCAGUAGGAUAGGCGAAGCGUGCGAUUGGAUUGCACGUCUAAGCAGUAAGGCUGAGUAUUAGGCAAAUCCGGUACUCGUUAAGGCUGAGCUGUGAUGGGGAGAAGACAUUGAGUCUUCGAGUCGUUGAUUUCACACUGCCGAGAAAAGCCUCUAGAUAGAAAAUAGGUGCCCGUACCGCAAACCGACACAGGUAGUCAAGAUGAGAAUUCUAAGGUGAGCGAGCGAACUCUCGUUAAGGAACUCGGCAAAAUGACCCCGUAACUUCGGGAGAAGGGGUGCUCUUUAGGGUUAACGCCCAGAAGAGCCGCAGUGAAUAGGCCCAAGCGACUGUUUAUCAAAAACACAGGUCUCUGCUAAACCGUAAGGUGAUGUAUAGGGGCUGACGCCUGCCCGGUGCUGGAAGGUUAAGAGGAGUGGUUAGCUUCUGCGAAGCUACGAAUCGAAGCCCCAGUAAACGGCGGCCGUAACUAUAACGGUCCUAAGGUAGCGAAAUUCCUUGUCGGGUAAGUUCCGACCCGCACGAA
This 1995-nucleotide ribosomal RNA is filed under the name Staphylococcus aureus DAR1086. Its description in RNAcentral is "bacterial LSU rRNA". It matches the Rfam family "Bacterial large subunit ribosomal RNA", at positions 3 to 1996 of the family's 2925-position model. The record is from RNAcentral. Lineage: Bacteria; Bacillati; Bacillota; Bacilli; Caryophanales; Staphylococcaceae.